RNAcentral lists this non-coding RNA (1532 nucleotides) under Mollisia rosae. RNAcentral describes it as "partial large subunit ribosomal RNA". It matches the Rfam family "Eukaryotic large subunit ribosomal RNA", at positions 139 to 1396 of the family's 3401-position model. Lineage: Eukaryota; Fungi; Ascomycota; Leotiomycetes; Helotiales; Mollisiaceae. The record is from RNAcentral.
CGCGUUGUAAUUUGUAUAAGAUGCUUUGGGUGUCGGCCCAGUCUAAGUUCCUUGGAACAGGACGUCAUAGAGGGUGAGAAUCCCGUAUGUGAUUGGUACCGGGGCCCGUGUAAAGCUCUUUCGACGAGUCGAGUUGUUUGGGAAUGCAGCUCAAAAUGGGUGGUAAAUUUCAUCUAAAGCUAAAUAUUGGCCAGAGACCGAUAGCGCACAAGUAGAGUGAUCGAAAGAUGAAAAGCACUUUGGAAAGAGAGUUAAACAGUACGUGAAAUUGUUGAAAGGGAAGCGCUUGCAAUCAGACUUGCGGGCGGUCGAUCAUCCGAGCUUCUGCCCGGUGCACUCGAUCGCUCUCAGGCCAGCAUCGGUUUCGGUGGUGGGAUAAAGACCGUGGGAAUGUGGCUCCUCGGAGUGUUAUAGCCUACGGUGCAAUGCCGCCUACCGGGACCGAGGACCGCGCUUCGGCUAGGAUGCUGGCGUAAUGGUUGUAAGCGACCCGUCUUGAAACACGGACCAAGGAGUCUAACAUCUAUGCGAGUGUUUGGGUGUCAAACCCAUACGCGUAAUGAAAGUGAACGGAGGUAAGAGCCCAUUAGGGUGCAUUAUCGACCGAUCCUGAUGUCUUCGGAUGGAUUUGAGUAAGAGCAUAGCUGUUGGGACCCGAAAGAUGGUGAACUAUGCGUGAAUAGGGUGAAGCCAGAGGAAACUCUGGUGGAGGCUCGCAGCGGUUCUGACGUGCAAAUCGAUCGUCAAAUUUGCGUAUAGGGGCGAAAGACUAAUCGAACCAUUGGGAUGGCUACUAGGUGGUUAAGAUACGUGGGUUAUAGUCCGCUGGCCCGCCAGCGGGCGACACUCUCAAAGUGCGGGGACGUCCUGGCAGUUCACAGCUACCGCAGCCGCGCCGAAAGGGCGGCGAGCACCGGCCCGUAAGGGGGCCCGGGGAUGGUAACAACGCUGGUGAUAGGGAUGAUCCGCAGCCAAGUCCUACCGGCGCGAGCCCACGGACGCAGUUCACAGACUAGAUGUGAGUGGGCCCCUCGGGGCUUAAGUUAUAGUCGACCCCCCGCGAGAGCGGGUGGAAGCAGUGCUAGUAGCUGGUUCCUGCCGAAGUUUCCCUCAGGAUAGCAGUGUUGUUUUCAGUUUUAUGAGGUAAAGCGAAUGAUUAGAGGCCUUGGGGUUGAAACAACCUUAACCUAUUCUCAAACUUUAAAUAUGUAAGAAGUCCUUGUUGCUUAAUUGAACGUGGACAUUCGAAUGCACCAACACUAGUGGGCCAUUUUUGGUAAGCAGAACUGGCGAUGCGGGAUGAACCGAACGGGGAGUUAAGGUGCCGGAAUCUACGCUCAUCAGACACCACAAAAGGUGUUAGUUCAUCUAGACAGCAGGACGGUGGCCAUGGAAGUCGGAAUCCGCUAAGGAAUGUGUAACAACUCACCUGCCGAAUGAACUAGCCCUGAAAAUGGAUGGCGCUUAAGCGUAGUACCCAUACUCCCCCGCCCGGGUAGAAACGAUGCCCGGGCGAGUAGGCAGGCGUGGGG